UCUUCCUUCUUCCGGCUCCACGAAACCCACCUCUGUUCUUCAUGUGAGAAGAAGCCCGAGCUCACCCACUUCGAAACCCACAUCUGUUCUUCAGUUUUCCUUUCUUUCUUUCUGAUUUUUCUUCAUCUAUUCGAUUCCUCCUUCCUCAGAUCUCUCUCUCUCUCUCUCUCUCUCUCUCUCUCUCUCUCUCUCUCUUCUUGGUUCUCAAAAAAGGGAAAAGCAGCUUCCCUUCUCCAUCUUCCAACCCAACACGGCUAAGAAAUCUCAAUCCCCAAUCUCCAAAUUUCCCUCAAAAUUAAGCCAAAGCGGCGAAAGCCCAAUUCAUUUUAGGGAUGAGGCUGAAUUGGGGUGAGUCGAUUUGGUGGAGUUGGGUGACUCAAAGCCUCAAACAAUCAAACUCAUCUCUUGAUUCAAAACCCAGAAACUCACCUCAAAUCCCCGAGGGUGGGUCGGUGAUUGGAGGGUGGUUCGGUGACAAUUGCGGCGACGGAGGGACAGAGAAGACGUCCUGAUCGUUCAUCUAUGCUCUUUCUUUACAAGUGCAUGUCUAGCCCUCUGAAGUCUUGCAGAAUUAUAUAGACACAGGACUUCAAAUGGCCUAGCUUUACCAAACUAUAAUGCAGGGUGAUGCCUGACAAAUCUUCUCGUGGUAAAAGGCCUCCCUUUCCAUUGCUCAAUAAGGAAAUUAAGAUAAUUGUUGGUGAGCCAAUGGAAUUUGACAUACCUAAAAUGAGGCAGGUGGCUACCUCUCUGUCUCCUAAAAUGUCACAUCCUUCUUUAGGAUGGCCAAGCCUUUGCCCAGGUGCUUUGGAUGAGGCAACACAGAGAUGUCUUUACAGUGCAAUUUCAGAGAAAAUCCAAAAUGCUUUGGAGAGAUUACGAAUUUUUGGUAAAAGUUUUACAAACUCAAAAGAUCAAAAUCCUUGCUAGUUUUUGUUUUGUUACAGAGUAUGUCAGAGUAGUGCGUUUUGAGUCUUUUGACCAUCUUAACCAAGAUAUAAUGGUACACAAGGAGUGCCAUCUCUUUUGUCGAGGCUUCAAUCACUUGCCAAGUUCAGUUUUAAGGAACAUAAAAUUCUUCCAGCUCCAUUCAAUGGUAUUACACAGAUACAGUCGAACUAAGAUUUGUAGUUGAUUCAUAUGACUGGUAUUGUGAAUUCAUUUACAGGGGUGUUAGCAAUAUUGCCCAUUUUUGUAGUUGAAUACAUUCACAUUCAAGAAGAGAGAACCAUUACUGUCUCAUCUGAAUUUUUAUGGAUAAAUUGAUGUUUUUGUUUC
Rosa rugosa (rugosa rose) is the source of this 1278-nucleotide long non-coding RNA. RefSeq lists it as uncharacterized. The record is from RefSeq and is a predicted model, not a curated record. The transcript is spliced from 2 exons. NCBI's taxonomy places the organism in Eukaryota, Viridiplantae, Streptophyta, Magnoliopsida, Rosales, Rosaceae.